Melospiza melodia melodia is the source of this 493-nucleotide long non-coding RNA. RefSeq lists it as uncharacterized. The record is from RefSeq and is a predicted model, not a curated record. Lineage: Eukaryota; Metazoa; Chordata; Aves; Passeriformes; Passerellidae. The transcript is spliced from 3 exons.
UUUUGUUCCUGAGGACUCCUUCCUUCCCUCACAUGCUGCUUAUCUGGGUGAAGAAUCGUGGCUGGAAUUUAUAAAUGCUUCUCUGUUGUGCAAAGGAGCUUUGAUAGCAUGAAAUGAAUAACAGGACAAUGAUUGCUGUCUGAGCAGGCUGGCCUCGUAGGGACAGGUUUCAAGUGGCUGCUGUGUGGGAUACUGGCAGGGCCUGAAGGAGAUGCUCAGCACCCAGCAUUACAGGAUUCUGCUUUCUUCUUGACUUUGGUUCUGCUUUUUAAACACUGACCUCAGGAGAAGCUCUGCAGCAUGAGAAGGUUAUUAUGGGAUUGGACACCUUGAGUCCCUUGGGGUAAAUUGCUACAGUGUCUCAGUUAAGUCCUUGUGUUCUGGUGAAAACAGUGGAGCUUGUUCUCAGUGGUGUAGUAUCUGAGCCAUCGAGUUUAAUGAAUCGUUACAAAUAGUUUAAUCUGCACUUGCAGGUGCUAUUAAAAUGGACUGU